CAAGGGCAUCCCUUCCCAAGAAAGGUGGCAAGGGGGUACGAGCGUUUAAGUCAGCAAUGCAGCACGUUGGGUGGUGAUGGAGGGUGCCUUUCUUGGUACACUCAUGGAUGCCCUUCCUUACCAUCUUUCCCUGGUCUGUAGACCCAUCUAUGCUAAUGACAAAUGACAGGGGAGAGCAAAUUGUGUGAGUUGAGCCCUACGGGUGCUUAUGGACAUCCAACUCCACUGGCUCUGGCUAUGUGAAAUGCUGCUGAAGGCUCUGACCUACUGUCCCUAUUGUCUCUCCUGCAGCAAUUUCAGUUCUCCAUCAUGGGUACCACAGCAGCAUGGAUGGCCUUGGAACAAGGGCACAGUGACGAGCCAAGGUCCCCUGGGUUCAAGUUUACUACCUAUGACCUGGUCCACCACCACAGUCAUCGCUUGAUCUAGCGGAGAGAACCAGCAGACACCCAAUGGUGAUGUCCACAGCAGGCUCUGACGUUCCUUCUGUCUCUCUUCUUGGCCCAUAAGAGGAGGCCCCAGAACCCCACCUGCGCAUGGAUGCCACCACUGGACCUGUCAGCGGAGAUGGCUUUGCUCCAGCAAGGUGAGAUGUGGUCACCUUCCCAGCAGAAAGAGGCACAGUCCCGCCGCGAAGACCCCGCGCCCGACCAGCUGCUUUUCCCGUUGCUCCUCUGAACACCAGAGACAAAGAAACAGGCUGGGAAGAGUCAAAGCCUUCGAUCUGGUAGCACGUGCCAUCUCUGCUAACCAGCAUCUCCCCUGGGGCUCUCACUGCUGCUGGGAAAGCCAAGGUUGUCCUGUGGUCCUGCGAACAGAGACGGGACGUUGUUGGUGCAGUGCUCUGUAUCAGAGCACAGACAGUCCAGACCCCCAGGAACGUAGCCAGGUUACUUCAUCUCCCUGCACUCCAGUUCCUCAGCUGCAGAAGAGGGAUUAUAACAGUGCCCACCCUCCCACACACCCGUGAGCACCCGUCUGUUGGUGGCCGAGGACGCGCAGGUAGAGUCACUGCAGUGGGGUGAUCACUGUGUGCCAUUACUGGCUGAUGCCAUGGCCAACCCCAGGUUCCGUGUCAAGACCUUGGACACAUUUUGGAUGCCUAAAGGUAGGUGCUUGGGGCCAUUUAGGUGCCCUGUAGGACCCCAGCUGGCCUCCAGCUGCUCUUCCAGCAGGCUCAUACAUCCUGUAGGUCCUCACAGCCCCAUGGUUUGCCCUGAGACCCCAGAGCAUCUCACAUAGCACCAGAUACCUCUGUUUAGGGCACUGAAUCCCACCCUUGCUUCCCUGGAGGGUGGGUUUCACCUGGUAGUAACCACUGCCCUUGAGUCUUGUUGGUGGCCACCUUCAGGCCAUGAGGCAUGGGCCGACAGGGGCCACCAUUCACGGCAUCAGAGCUGGGGUUGACUGUGUAGACUUUCCUGCACCUGAGAAGCUUGGGCCUGUUCCCAGCACCACUGCUCACGUCAGC
Molecule: long non-coding RNA, 1471 nt
Filed under: Calidris pugnax (ruff)
Lineage: Eukaryota; Metazoa; Chordata; Aves; Charadriiformes; Scolopacidae
Description: lncRNA (ENSCPUG00000012153.1)
Source: RNAcentral